UACGGGAGUGGCAAGCGUUAUCCGGAAUUAUUGGGCGUAAAGCGUCCGCAGGCGGUCUUUUAAGUCUGCUGUUAAAGCGUGGAGCUUAACUCCAUUAAGGCAGUGGAAACUGGGAGACUAGAGUGUGGUAGGGGCAGAGGGAAUUCCCGGUGUAGCGGUGAAAUGCGUAGAUAUCGGGAAGAACACCAGUGGCGAAGGCGCUCUGCUGGGCCAUAACUGACGCUCAUGGACGAAAGCCAGGGGAGCGAAAGGGAUUAGAUACCCCUGUAGUCCUGGCCGUAAACGAUGAACACUAGGUGUCGGGGGAAUCGACCCCCUCGGUGUCGUGGCCAACGCGUUAAGUGUUCCGCCUGGGGAGUACGCACGCAAGUGUGAAACUCAAAGGAAUUGACGGGGGCCCGCACAAGCGGUGGAGUAUGUGGUUUAAUUCGAUGCAACGCGAAGAACCUUACCAGGGUUUGACAUCCUGCGAAUCUUUUGGAAACAGAAGAGUGCCUUCGGGAGCGCAGUGACAGGUGGUGCAUGGCUGUCGUCAGCUCGUGUCGUGAGAUGUUGGGUUAAGUCCCGCAACGAGCGCAACCCACGUCGUUAGUUGCCAGCAUUCAGUUGGGCACUCUAGCGAGACCGCCGGUGAUAAACCGGAGGAAGGUGUGGAUGACGUCAAGUCAUCAUGCCCCUUACAUCCUGGGCUACACACGUACUACAAUGCUACGGACAAAGGGCAGCAAACUCGCGAGAGCUAGCAAAUCCCAUAAACCGUGGCUCAGUUCAGAUCGUAGGCUGCAACUCGCCUACGUGAAGGAGGAAUCGCUAGUAAUCGCAGGUCAGCAUACUGCGGUGAAUACGUUCCCGGGCCU
Molecule: ribosomal RNA, 857 nt
Filed under: uncultured bacterium
Lineage: Bacteria
Description: SSU rRNA
Rfam family: Bacterial small subunit ribosomal RNA
Source: RNAcentral